Molecule: ribosomal RNA, 252 nt
Filed under: uncultured bacterium
Lineage: Bacteria
Description: partial 16S ribosomal RNA
Rfam family: Bacterial small subunit ribosomal RNA
Source: RNAcentral
UACGAAGGGUGCGAGCGUUGUUCGGAAUUACUGGGCGUAAAGGGUUUGUAGGCUGAAAUGUAAGUCAAGUGUGAAAUCCCCGAGCUAAACUGGACGUGCAUUUGAAACUGUGUUUCUUGAGUAUCGUAGAGGGUGGUGGAAUUGUAGGUGUAGGAGUGACAUCCGUAGAGAUCUGCAGGAACAUCAGAGGCGAAGGCGACCACCUGGCCGAUUACUGACGCUGAGGAACGAAAGCGUGGGGAGCAAACAGGG